AUCUCUUCACUGCUGUAGUGUACUCGCUGCAAUUAGGUAGAAACCGAUAACAUCCGAAUUGUUGUACAACUAUCAUCUAUAUUCACGAUCUCUUUAGUUAUUUUUUAUAUACCUAGUUGACUGUGUUGAUUGGUGAGACAACAUCCGGAAUAUCCAGGAAAGCGUCGUCGUCGUCAGUCCUGCGAUUCAGAAAGUGUGAAAUUUGAAAGUCGCGAUAAGAAAACAUCAAGUCUGUGACAUUUUCAUUACAUGAUCUUUUGAUCUGCGCGCAAAAAAAAAAAUUGUUACAGAACUCAUCGUUUCCAGAAGAUGCAAUUAAAAUGAAGCUAAUAUUCUUCCUGUUGUUCUUGGUCAGUUCUGUUUUUUGCGCACCCUGGCUCGAUUUGUGGUUUCCCCAGCAAUCCUCAUACGACAGUCGAGACACCGGAUAUUAUGCAAACAAGGAGAACGGUUCGUAUCGACGAUACCGUCAAGGCAGAGGCGGCAAGGAACGUUGGAAGCAGAUCUGUAGGACGAUAAAUCCCGAUCCGUACGCGUUUCCAGGACGCGUUCCAUAUCCCGCUGCGCCUAUCUGUCCGUGGUAAAAAAAAAAUUUUCCGUCGAACUUACUUAAUUGCGCCAAAUUCAAACACAGCGCGUAUAUAUUAAUCGUUAAAAAUAUGAAUUUAUUGUAACAAUGUAGCUUCUGACAAUAUACGUCCACUGAUUACGAGUAUUUCAGUCGGUGUGUGUGUGUGAAUGUACAAUGUGUGUGUUACACAGUGAAACAGUACUCUCUAUCACGCAACUAUGGUAUAUAUAUAAAUAUUCGCGACAGACUACAUAUAUAUAUAUAGUCACUUACCGCACACAUUCAUCAUAUAUAAAGUAUACGAAGCAAAGAAAUAAUAAUUACCUGCGUAUCAUAGUUUUCGCACGCGAAUCAUAUUUAUGCAAAAUUCUAAAUCUGUUUACAUUUGCCUGCAAUAUGACAAAUUAACGUUCUCUCUCUCUCUCUUUCUCUCUUUCUCUUACAUACAUGUCUCUUACGUACAAAAAUAAAUUAUACACACUCUUUUUUGUGUAAUAACGAGUGUACGUUUGGUUUUUUUUUUUUUUUUUUUUUUAAGAAAUGCGCGCAUCUCUACAGCAAAAUCCGUAAAAUUACCGGUAGUCUUUAAAUAUCAUAUAUAUAUGUUACACGGUUUAUAUACACACACGCACGUCUAUAUAUACAUGCAUACGCACACAUAUGUAUAUACAAUCCAAAAUCACAGAGUUAGUAUAGCACAGCGAUGUUGCGCAUAUCGUCGAUGUUAAUGAUUUGAGAAAUUAGUAUAAGAGCAAUCCCUAACAUUACCCACAAGUAAAUUGAAACAAUACAAAUGUACGUAGAAAUACAAAUAUACCUGAAUUUUCUAAGA
Molecule: long non-coding RNA, 1403 nt
Organism: Pseudomyrmex gracilis
Lineage: Eukaryota; Metazoa; Arthropoda; Insecta; Hymenoptera; Formicidae
Exons: 2
Source: RefSeq, a predicted model, not a curated record